ACUCAGCCUCUUAUGAUUGCCGAUUUCCGAUCCAAAAACUGUCUCCUCCACCCCAAUAACUGGCUUCAUAUAUAUUUAUCUUUAAUAUGGUUAAUUAUUGGUGUUUCUUAGCAAUUGUAAUGGGUCAGAAACCGGUAAAUACGAUGCUCUGAGUACGAUAAUCUGGUAACGUUGGGGCCGAGGCUGCGGGUGGCCAGGUGAGCUUUGAACACAGGUGGCAGGUGAGCCGCCCCGCGCCUUCCUUCAUUUCCCUGGUUCACGGAGGGCAGAGGCGAGGCACACGGGUGAGCCUUGGACACAGGAGGACCUUAAAGAACCCGGCCACCCAAGACAGCAGCCAGACACACCAGCGCCGAGCCUCAAGGCCUUGGGGAGUCCACCUUGCAGGCCGACGGGUAUCCGCUCCUCGGGGCACCUCAGCCUGGCGUUAUCUUCAAAUCAGAUCAUCUCUCAGACCCAACAACCCCGCCGUCUCUUCUCCCACCGGCUUCUCCACUCCAACCAGCAUCCACCAGCCCCCUCUGCCCAGUCUUUCUAAUCUGCACUGAUCAGCCUACAUCAUCAGUCUUCCAUCACCAAGGGCAUCCUUUGCUGUUAUUCAUAAGAACAUAGGAAUGUAGGAGUCUGCAAGAGGCUGGUAGGCCUGUACAAGGCAGCUCCUGUGAAUCUAACCCCACCACACAGCCAGGGAAUUAAAGGAAGCUCACCCAGACCUGCUAGGAAAUGUUGCUGCACAAACAUUGCAGGAACAUUGUCAGAAGCACCUCAAGCUGCCACUUAGUUGCCCCACAAAAAAAGCGCCCCUUUGUGUACUAGUACACUAAGGGCAGAAAGUUCUGGAGACAUUAUAUUAUACAGUCUUGCAUGUUAGUAAACGUAUUCCUAAGCUAACGAUCCCAACCAUGUCAAAUUCAAACACCCCUCCACCACCUGCCUCACUCACUGUUAUCCAUAAUAAUUCCAAGAGACCAAGCUGGACAGGGAGGCAUCAGUGUGUUCAUGUACCUCAGUAACUUAGAUGAUAUAAAACUGCAUGACUACAUAUGAGGAGAAAAUAAAUGCUUUGAGAGCAUCAAUCCUAGCGACUGUCUUACACGCUCCAUCAUAAUGAGUAACUUUCUCUGGUUGCAAGUCAUAUAAUUUUCUCCACGAGCAAUAUAUUAGUGUUUGCUGCUCAUUCUGAAUUAGGUGGUGUCUACUAUUUUCAAAAUGGCAGAGAACUAUAGGAACAACACAUUAAAGACCUCUGUUCAUGCUUCCGUUGGUCAUGCAUGUGGGGUGUUCACUGACUUCAUGCUGCACUACGGUGCCUUAGAGUGGUCAAGGACAAAAUGAUUCCACUUAAGAGCUUCAGCCAUCAUUUUGCUCACCUGGAUUUCCUAAUCAUGUAAUGGAUGAGAUCUUUACAAAACUGCAGGAUAAUGACGGAAUCAAUCCCAGCACCACCUCCAUUCUGCAGUAUGCAACAUAGUACCUACACAUGAAAGACGACAAGGGGCUGGUGCUUGUUUGUGCCUUCACCUCAACUUCAGGGAGACCCACUGGUUAGUUCCCUAAGAGGCCAGGCUCAAUACCAGGGAGCCAGAAUGGUCAAUCCAGCACUCCAAGAUCAAGAAGGCACCCAUUUAGGCCAUCUUCUCACUCUUAACACCUGAGGCCAGUACUCUAAUCCCUUCUGCACUAUCUGCAGAAAGAAUGGCCAUGCCUGUUCAUGGUGCUGGUAUAAAGACUUCAUCUCUCCCAACCAGUACUGUUCAUGCCAUAAUUGUCGUGUCCUCCAGACUUGUUCAAAUUCAGGAGAGCUGCGCACCUGGCUUCACCCAAACUACCAUAAAGAGUAACAGUGAAAGGAGGGCGAGGGAGUGUUCAAAGCUUUUCUCUAUACACAGAGCCGGUAGUGUAUAUUAGACGCCCUCCAUCAGAUGCUCGGGGCGAAAUUUUAGAACCUGCUCAUCAGUCUGGGUGCUGCAAAUAAAAGAUAGGUGCAUGCACCAAUAGAGUUCUUAAUAAAGCUGAACAAAACUACUCAACACCUUACAAAGAAGGUCUCACAGUAGCCUCAUCCAUCCAUGGAUGUCAUUUGUGUAAAGACAGACCACAAAGAGACUUUAUUCUGCACUCCAGUUUUAUGUUAUCUAAAGUGAGGCAGUGACUCAUAUCUUCCUCGUCUUCCUGUCCCACUACUAAAGUUUGACAUUAGACGAUGUUUUAGUAAGAUAAGUAUACAUAUACAUACUGUAUGUAUAUAUUUACUGGCUGAACAUGAACCAGACUGCAAAGUCACGCAAAUCAUGGUACCCAACCAUUCUAAGCAGUUUACAUUCCUGUGGUGUAGAAUACACUAUGGCAGUGUUCUCUAUCCCUUUUUGCUGUGAUCCAUCCCUAUUGUCCAACCUGGACAGGUGGGCAACUCCUCUGCACACUUGGGUCAUGGCUGAUGCAGGAAUUAGAUUGUAUGGGAAAAUUUGCUUAUAUUAACAAAUCUCCACUUUACUACGAGUAGAUGAUUGAGAACCGAGUCCCUCCUUACUUUCAGUCCUGUCUUGCUCUCGGACCCACCAAUUUGAGACAAUGACAGACAUGAGCAAGACAGCAGUGAGCCUCAGAGUAUCAGCAUCUACUCUGAUAACAUGUCCAAACCGUCUCAGAGAACCACACAUUACCCAUUCGGUCCACAGUCCACUUCCCUUGCUGUCACACAUCCUCAUCCAUUCAUAUCAUGUCCAAACCAUUUUACACUACUGCACCUCGCCAUUACAUCCAGAGUUUCUAAUUUUUUCCCCUAUGUUUCAGGGAAAGUGGGAGCUCAGCUGGAACGAAGAUUGCACAAGAUAGAAAGAAAUUAGUUGAGCUUCAGCUCCGUGGUGUCUGGACAGCAAGCUAGUAACAUCGGCUCACACGGACUUCCUACCUUAAAUGCCUGUUGUCCUCUUUGGUGCCAGUAAAAAUUUGUAAGAACGGACAAAAGCAUGUAUAGUAUAUAGGUUCAGCACCAAUAUACUUUCAUCAGCAUGCCAGAAGGAGGACAGCACGCAUGCCCAGCAGGGAGUCAGUGCACGCUGCUCGGCUGUGAAGAAACAGGCGUCCAGUCUUGGAGCUGUCGCUAUUCUCCCACUAUAUAGGUGGUGGUGCUGCAGGAGUUGUGACGAGGUGUCUGAAACCUCCACCAGUGUAUCCCUUAUCAGAUGUGGCAACUCUUCAUCCGGUAGACCUAGAGGACCCAUCUGUUUGGGGAGAGGGGAUGGCAAGUAUAAA
Molecule: long non-coding RNA, 3255 nt
Organism: Eriocheir sinensis (Chinese mitten crab)
Lineage: Eukaryota; Metazoa; Arthropoda; Malacostraca; Decapoda; Varunidae
Exons: 4
Source: RefSeq, a predicted model, not a curated record